UGUGUGUGUGUGUUUUUGCGUGUGAACCUAGCGCCACCGUGUGUGUGUGUGUGUGUGUGUGUGUGUGUGUGUGUGUGUGUGUGUGUGUGUGUGUGUGUGUGUGUGUGUGUGUGUGUGUGUGUGUGUGUGUGUGUGUUUCUCUCCUACGUCUGGUUGGUUACAGGAUCCUCUGAGGUUUCCUGUCCACCAAGGUCUCAAAGGGCUCUAGGUUUUCAGUGGCUCUAGGUUUUUAAUGGUGCUAUGUUUUCAGUGGCUCUAGGUUUUUAAUGGUGCUAUGUUUUCAGUGGCUCUAGGUUUUUAAUGGUGCUAUGUUUUCAGUGGCUCUAGGUUUUCAAUGGUGCUAUGUUUUCAGUGGCUCUAGGUUUUCAAUGGUGCUAUGUUUUCAGUGGCUCUAGGUUUUCAAUGGUGCUAUGUUUUCAGUGGCUCUAGGUUUUCAAUGGUGCUAUGUUUUCAGUGGCUCUAGGUUUUCAAUGGUGCUAUGUUUUCAGUGGCUCUAGGUUUUCAAUGGUGCUAUGUUUUCAGUGGCUCUAGGUUUUCAAUGGUGCUAUGUUUUCAGUGGCUCUAGGUUUUCAAUGGUGCUAUGUUUUCAGUGGCUCUAGGUUUUCAAUGGUGCUAUGUUUUCAGUGGCUCUAGGUUUUCAAUGGUGCUAUGUUUUCAGUGGCUCUAGGUUUUCAAUGGUGCUAUGUUUUCAGUGGCUCUAGGUUUUCAAUGGUGCUAUGUUUUCAGUGGCUCUAGGUUUUUAAUGGUGCUAUGUUUUCA
Molecule: long non-coding RNA, 759 nt
Organism: Oncorhynchus keta (chum salmon)
Lineage: Eukaryota; Metazoa; Chordata; Actinopteri; Salmoniformes; Salmonidae
Exons: 4
Source: RefSeq, a predicted model, not a curated record